CGUGCGCAGAAAAAGGUCGGCAUAAAAAGAUCAGGGCGCAUGUGCUGAUUGUUGACUCGAUUGCGCAAUCGCAAAAAGAAAACACGUUUAAAGGUCCGGCAGGGGGCGGCACGUGUAGGUGCGGCACAGGUACUGCGCUUUAAGACGCUCCCGCCCACGAAGCGAAUAUCGUUUUUGGUGUGCGGCGCGGGGGAAAAAAAAAGUCAUAGUAGAGAAAUAUGGAAACGCUGCUCCCGUAGAAGACUGCACGUUGCUGCUGCCCGCCGAGCCGGCUGCUCUGCUUGCCGCUGUUUUCUGCCUUUUCAGAACGGGGUUCCCGUUCAUGUCGGGGGCGGCAGGGACGUGCGCUCGCCGCUGGAAAGGAGGUGACGGGAGGCAGGGGAGCAGCGCGAGAGGAGGAAGAGGAGGAGAGGACUGGGAGAAAGUGUCGGUGUCCGCGAGACUGGCGGCUGCGACAGACCCACCGAGAGGGGCGGGAGCCCCGAGGAAGGCGAGAAGCUCAGGACCGAGCCGGCUGAAGCUCGAUCGGCUCUGCUGGGCCAUGGGGGCGACCCCGCUGCUACCUCUUCUGGUGCUCUCUGCGAGGGUGGGGGGAGAGGGAGGGAAGGAGGGCGGCACUUUCAGACAACUGCAGGAUGCGAUCUGUGCCCCCCACUUUUUGAUGUAGUCCAAUUAUAGCGAAGGACACUGGACAGCUUUUCUCAGUGGAGCCUGUUGGCGGGUUAACAUUCAGGGGACUCAGGUAUUUGUCUCCUCUUCUGUGACGCCUCUCGGAUUGCCUCCGUGCAUGCCCGAUGCAGGCUUUCCGGGAUAAUCCUGCUAUGCGUGGUGCUUAUAGAGUGCACAAAUAUAAAACUGCGAGUUAAGGACUCCUUUUUU
Nothoprocta perdicaria is the source of this 879-nucleotide long non-coding RNA. RefSeq lists it as uncharacterized. The record is from RefSeq and is a predicted model, not a curated record. Lineage: Eukaryota; Metazoa; Chordata; Aves; Tinamiformes; Tinamidae. The transcript is spliced from 2 exons.